RNAcentral lists this ribosomal RNA (169 nucleotides) under Rubus crataegifolius. RNAcentral describes it as "5.8S ribosomal RNA". It matches the Rfam family "5.8S ribosomal RNA". Rfam says of the family: 5.8S ribosomal RNA (5.8S rRNA) is a component of the large subunit of the eukaryotic ribosome. It is transcribed by RNA polymerase I as part of the 45S precursor that also contains 18S and 28S rRNA. The record is from RNAcentral. Lineage: Eukaryota; Viridiplantae; Streptophyta; Magnoliopsida; Rosales; Rosaceae.
UGGCUUAACGACUCUCGGCAACGGAUAUCUCGGCUCUCGCAUCGAUGAAGAACGUAGCGAAAUGCGAUACUUGGUGUGAAUUGCAGAAUCCCGUGAACCAUCGAGUCUUUGAACGCAAGUUGCGCCCGAAGCGAUUAGGCCGAGGGCACGCCUGCCUGGGCGUCACACG